AGCGAACGCUAGCGGCGGGCCUAACACAUGCAAGUCGAGCGCAUACCUUCGGGUAUGAGCGGCGGACGGGUGAGUAACGCGUAGGUCAUCUACCCUUUGGUGGGGGAUAACCCAGGGAAACUUGGGCUAAUACCGCACGAGGUCCACGGAUCAAAGCCUUCGGGCGCCAGAGGAUGAGCCUGCGUCGCAUUACCUAGUUGGCGGGGUAACGGCCCACCAAGGGGACGAUGCGUAGCUGGUCUGAGAGGAUGAUCAGCCACACUGGGACUGAGACACGGCCCAGACUCCUACGGGAGGCAGCAGUGGGGAAUAUUGCGCAAUGGGGGAAACCCUGACGCAGCCACGCCGCGUGGGUGAUGAAGGCCUUCGGGUUGGUAAAGCCC
Molecule: ribosomal RNA, 383 nt
Filed under: uncultured bacterium
Lineage: Bacteria
Description: bacterial SSU rRNA
Rfam family: Bacterial small subunit ribosomal RNA
Source: RNAcentral